This 1950-nucleotide long non-coding RNA is filed under the name Olea europaea subsp. europaea. The record is from RNAcentral. Lineage: Eukaryota; Viridiplantae; Streptophyta; Magnoliopsida; Lamiales; Oleaceae.
CGAACAUAUAAAAAUGCAUUAAAAUUUUAUGAAUACUUAAAGAUCACGUAGAGCAUAGCGAUAUAUUUCUAUCCUCUAUCGGAUUUUACGACAACUAACAUAAUAUCUAACUUAUUUUCCAUCUCUCGGGGGUAAAACAAGCCACAAAUCUCAUACAACUAUUGUGCAUCUAAUUGUAGAGAAAAUAAAAUCCAUGCCAAUCAUUAAUAAGUAAAAACAUGUUUUAACGUCAAAUAAAUAAAAUUCAAGAUUAAGAGUUCAUAAUAUAAGGUUCAUCGCAAAUCCUAGCACAAAAUAAUUUAGCCUAACAUAAUGUGAAAAUUAAACAAAGAAAAGUGGAAGAAUAUCACCAAAAAUCGAUCAAAUGUGAUUAAUUCCGCAAUUUUAUUUGGCUGCCGUCUUUUUCCUCUUCAGUUUAUGAUUUCCGCCUCUGCUUGCCUCGGGUCAUGGGUAUAUAUAAAUCCAUGCAGCCACAAGUUAAUUCCCACCGUCAGCCCAAUUUUAUUGCCAAUUGAAGAGUCCAAUUCCAGCACCCACUUACAUGAAAUGCAUGGUCAUAUGUGUAGACAAGAUUUGGUUAAUAAUUUUUACCAUCCAAUGGCAAUUAGCUGCCCAAUUAUGUGGGUAUUUUCUCUAAAAAAUCAGCUUUUGCAAUCCACUAGCAUAUCCUAGCAGCUGCCGACUUUUCCUCACUGAAGCACUCAAUUUUCGGCUCCCCCCCGUCCAGCUUCUCCCCAAUCUGUAGGUUUAUGUUUGUAUAUAUAUGAGGAAAUUACAUAAAAUCAGGUAUUAAAACUUUCAAAUUCAAAAUUAGGGGAUAUAGUUUACUUAAGCAAAAAUCAGGUAUUAUAUAUAAUUAACCCAUCCAAUUCAAUUAAAACCCUAAUCAUUUCCCCCAAAUUUUUCCCGUAUCAUAUCCCGUCUCUCUCUCUAUCUCUCUACCUUAUCCUUCGAUCGUCGUCCUCGUCAAGGAGCGACCGCCACCGAAGACAUCUCCGUCACUGUAAUAAUCUAUUCUCACUCUAACUCUCCAUCUUCUCUUCAUCUCCCUGUCCGUAUCUUCCUCGCGAUGCAGAUCUGCCCACUUCGGCAAGCUGUAGUGAUGAAAUGAAAAGGUGAAGCAAUUUCACCUACUUCGGCGACUUAAUGUAAUGAAGAAGCGAAUUUGUGGUGGUGAUUGUAAUGAAGAGACGAAUUUGAAAAUUUGGACAGUGUCUUAUGUGGUGAUGGCGUAUUUUUUGUGGCAGUUGGCAUUUGGGUGGGGCUUGGAUGGUUCUUUGUGUGGUGGUGGUGUUUGUGUGGUGGAGGUUUUGUAGUGGCGACUAUGGUGGUUGUUGAAUUUGGUGGUAGUGGUGUGAUUUUUCAACAUGUUUUGUUCCCUUUUUGAGGUGGUGGUGGCAAGUUUGUGGAUUCUUUGGUGGGGUGGUAGUUAGGUAUGGUGUAAAUGGAGAUGAAGGAAAUUGUGGUGGUGGUGGUGUGCUGUGCGUGGUGCGUUGUGCGAUAGUGGUGGCGGUGGCGGUGGCGAUGACGGUAACAGGUGGAGUGUCUGUGACCAAUAAUUAGGUGUCCGUGACCAACUAUUUAGGCGUACGUGACCAACUAUUUAGCUGAUUUGCGACUAAAUAUUAGGUGUCUGUGACUAAAAAAUAAUUUGUGACCAAUAAAUUGUAAUUUAUGCGACCCAUAUAUAAAAUGUGACUUGUAAUUUGAAUAACCUGUAACCUCGAAAUAAUAUGACAUACAAAAUUUUUUAUUUAUGACCACGAAAUAAUCUGUGAACAAUUAAUUUGACGAUAUGUGACCAAUAAAUAAAUACGUGACCAUUAAUCUUGUAAUUGUGACUUUAUUAUCUUUAUUUAAUAAAUAUUUUUAAUUAAUUAAAUGCAUACCUGAUUUUUGAAUUUUCAAACUACUUACUUGAUUUUUGAAUUGGGGGAAACAUAACCCCUG